Molecule: long non-coding RNA, 1385 nt
Filed under: Ixodes scapularis (black-legged tick)
Lineage: Eukaryota; Metazoa; Arthropoda; Arachnida; Ixodida; Ixodidae
Description: uncharacterized LOC115325909, transcript variant X2
Source: RNAcentral
GCUAGGCUGGGUACUUCUCGUUUGUAAUCUGCUGUUCUAAGCUUGUUGUUUUCAAACACAAUGUUUGCACUCAUUCGUUUCUUGGAUGAAUUUGAUGAGACACCUUAUGUUGUCUUUGCAAAGUCCAAAAAGGACUUUAAUUUGACGGACGAAAACGACUACGACAAGAAUGGCGUGUACAGCACGUACUGGGAGGACAAAGAAAAGUGCAAAAACUCUGGCAUCUAUUCAGCACAGAUAUUGCUGCUGGCAUACACCAGAGAGGAUCUUGAAAAGAAGCAGACAUCUGAUUUUGAGGCUGAAGACAAUACUGCAGCUUCAUCUGACAGGGUAUCAUUGAAGCAGGCACCUGGAAGGAGGAAACGCCAGUUGAGUGAUUCUGAUAGCGAUACAGACGAGUCCGUUGUCGUCAGUCGAGCUGAAGAGGGCAAAGACAGACGCAGCAUUCUGGCGGUGGCGCUACACUGAGGCUUGCCAGGAGAAGGAGAAGCUCACCAAUAUUAUUGAAUCAAUGCAGAGAACCAGUGAUGGCAAGCUAGCAGCAAUUCAACAGCUGCGAGAAGCACAGGGUCCUGCACUGCCGUCACAAGCAGGUGAACUUCGUUGUGUUCAAUGGCUGCCAGAACCAAGGAGCCCUAGGGUGAUGUCAGGAGCAGCAGAAUGUCACUUCGGUAGGUAAAUUAUGUUCUUAUUGUAAGGUGAGUAAGGUAUUAUAAAAGGUAGUUUACCUUAAUGGGCUCCUGAUGCCCCGAAAUAUUACUUAUUUUUAAUGUGCUUAUAAGUAGUGGUGCGCGAAUACCGAAUAGCAGUUAUCGAAUCGAAUUGAGAAAAAAGAGCCGAAUAUUGAAUCGGAUAUUGAAUAGUGAUUUUCUUUGUAGGAAUUUUUCAAGGUGUGCUGUGAAUGAGAUUAUUAUAUGUGCAGAAUAUGCACCUUGAAAGGAACAAAAGCUCAAAAACGAAAAAGAAAAAAGAAGCUGUUGAUGGACGUUGGGCACUAAAGAUUCAAUUUUACGGCGCAAACGUAAUUAUCUACCCUAAGCGUCACAAAAACAAGUUACAGCCACAUGUGCCUUUUUUGUUAAAAGCACGACCUAACACCUUGACAUGUCCUUUUUAUUAUAUUUGUAUAUCUAAAAAAAGGGGCAUUUUGCGAUAUUUGGUCUUAAUUUUAACAAAGAAAAAGGGCACCCGGGAUUUUAUUUUAUAUAAAUAAACAGAAAGGUGUUAAAUCUAAGUAAACAGGCUUAAAUAAUAUAAUCUGAAGUAAGAAAAAAAAUGUGGUUAGGUGGCGCAAGUCACCGUCCAACUUCCGCUAUGCAUCCAUUCCUCCAUUGUGGUCAGUUUGCCUUGCUGCAUACCCGACCCGGAGGAAUAACACGGAGCCA